This 1748-nucleotide long non-coding RNA is filed under the name Marmota monax (woodchuck). The record is from RNAcentral. Lineage: Eukaryota; Metazoa; Chordata; Mammalia; Rodentia; Sciuridae.
GGGAGACCCUUGGCUUCCUCACCCUCUGGGUGGCUCCUCCCUGGCUCCGCGGGUCUGCAGUCUGUGGCCAGCCCUCUUUAUCUUGUCCCCAAGUUUCCACUGCUAUCAGCCAUUAUCUAGCGCCAUCCCGCCCCAGCGGGCAGAGCAGGAAGCCGGCCCGUGAGUCUCCUCUCCACUCUCCAUCCUCUUCCUUCUCCAGAGACAAAAGCCAAAACAGCCCGCUAACAGAUCCGCGUUUCCCUUGGCUCCUUGACUCCCACUUCCCACUCUCAUUUUUUCACAGGCUCCGGUUUUCCAGAGUCAGGCUGUCCUCAGGAGCCACUGCGUCCCCAGGCCUGAAGGCCCCGCUCUGUCACUUCCUCUAGGCCUGUCUGCAGAGCACCCGGCAUGGCCUCCAAAGCCAAAGUCUCCUGCUCCUUCUUAUCCUCUUUGAGAUCAGUCCAGCCAGAAAUGGCCCUGCCGGCUGGCCGUCUGGCUGUUGGAGCCAGGCUGGGCUGGACAGAGCUCUGGCCUUCCUCAUUAGCAAGGUCUCCCUGGCCCUUCCUCUCCCUGGCGAGGCUGUGACUCCGAUUAUAGCUGCAAAGCUGCUAGAGGGUUUUUUUUUUUUUCUUUUUCUUUUUGGUCAAAGAGCAUCACGCAUCGUUUAUGAUUUCACCAUUCACUCUGACAUGUACUAUGUGCUUCCUAGGCUGCUGCUGGGACCCAGAGAAGAGCAAAGUAAGACCUCGGCCCUUGAAGAGUGGUUACCCUCACAAGACGACAGAGCCUAAUGCAUGGUAGGAGUGCUCGGUGCAAGGAGAGGGGUGAAAGCAAGUGCUCUGAGCACACACAGGAGGAAGAGGCGGGUGCUCCCCAGGAGCACUGCGCAAAGCACUCGGUGUAGCUGUCUCAUUUAAUGCUGGAGGCAAACCUGUGGGCAGGAGUGAUUAUCACCCAGAACUUAUAGCAGGAGAGACUGAAGCUUACAAAGCUUAGUGAAGCCUUGUCACUCAGUGAGGACUACACUUGUCCCCAGAUGCCAUCUCCCCUCGGUCUUCCCCUCUGCUCCAGCCCUGUGGUCUCUUGGUUGAGACAGUGAGCUGGUAAAUAUCUUUGGCUCAACAUACUUAGUUACAUCUUGGGUCUUAGUCUUCCUCCUCUGUAAAAGGGGGUGAUAACUUACCUCCUAGGUUUGUUGUGGGUUUUAUUUUAUUUUGGAGGGUACUAGGCACUGAACCCAGGGACACUUUAACCCUGAGCUACAUCUCUAGCCCCACCCCUUUUGAUACAGGAUCUUGCUAGGUUCUGAGACUGGCCUCUAACUUUUGAUCCUCCUGCCUCAGCCUCCUGAGUGGUUGGGAUUACAGGUGUGUGGCACCAUGCCUCGAUAGUUGUGGAUUUUAAGUGCAUAAUGAGCUCAGACAGUGACUGACACAGAAUACCCCCUGGAUGUGAUUGUUUUUGUAAUUACUGUUCCACUACCAGAAGUUAUCCCAAGAAGGGAUCUUCAGGGGGGUGGCUGAGGAGCUGGUUUUGUGUGACUCUUCUCUGCCCACCCCUGACCCUGAGGCAGGGGUCUGACCAGAUGCACAGCCCAGGUUUGCCUCUCCAUUUCCCUCUCUGGCUCAGGAGAGUCUCCCCAGUGCUCAAAGAGCCUGCCAGUUUCAGUCAUCUGGCCCUGAAGGAACCUGAGUCCCUUUGCUGGUGAUCACCUAGCUUCAUUUUUCUUUUAGUUAAAACUGUGCCAGAAUGUCGAUGUUGAAUCAGGG